This 406-nucleotide ribosomal RNA is filed under the name uncultured bacterium. RNAcentral's name for it is "partial 16S ribosomal RNA". It matches the Rfam family "Bacterial small subunit ribosomal RNA", at positions 30 to 526 of the family's 1533-position model. The record is from RNAcentral.
AUUGCACGCUGGCGGCAGGCCUAACACAUGCAAGUCGAACGAGUGGCGGACGGGAGAGUAAUGUCUGGGAAACUGCCCGAUGGAGGGGGAUAACUACUGGAAAAGGUAGCUAAUACCGCAUACCAUCGGAUGUGCCCAGAUGGGAUGAGCUAGUAGGUGGGGUAACGGCUCACCUAGGCGACGAUCCCUAGCUGGUCUGAGAGGAUGACCAUCAACACUGGAACGGAGAACCGGUCCAGGCUCCUACGGGACGCCGCAGUGGCGAAUAUUGCACAAUGGGCGCAAGCCGGAUGCAGCCAUGCCGCGUGUAUGAAGAAGGCCUUCGGGUUGUAAAGUACUUUCAGCGAGGAGGCGUUACUCGCAGAAGAAGCACCGGCUAACUCCGUGCCAGCCGCCGCGGUAAUUC